RNAcentral lists this ribosomal RNA (666 nucleotides) under uncultured crenarchaeote. Its description in RNAcentral is "bacterial SSU rRNA". It matches the Rfam family "Archaeal small subunit ribosomal RNA", at positions 195 to 871 of the family's 1478-position model. The record is from RNAcentral. Lineage: Archaea; Thermoproteati; Thermoproteota.
UUGGUAACGCUAGGAUGGGCUCGCCGAUCAGCCUUGGUAAGUAAUGCUCACCAUACCUUGCCCGGUACGGGCCAUGAGAGUGUAAGCCCGGAGAUGGACACUGAGACAAGGGUCCAGGCCGUACGGUGCGCAGCAGGCGCGUAACCUCCUCAAUGCACUAACGUUCGAAGGGGUUACCUCGAGUGCCACCUGAAGAAGGUGGCUUUUCCUUGGUCUAAAAAGCCUCGGGAAUAAGAGGGGGGCAAGACUGGUGUCAGCCUCCGCGGUAACACCAGCCCCUCGAGUGGUGGGGAUGAUUAUUUGGCCUAAAGCGUCCGUAGCCGGCCGUAUAAGUUUCCCGUUAAAUCCAACGUCUCAAGCGUUGGACUGCGGGAAAUACUGUACGGCUAGAGAGUGGGAGAGGUCAGCGGUAUUCUGGGGGUAGGGGCGAAAUCCUUUGAUCCCCGGAGGACCACCAGUGGCGAAGGCUGCUGACUAGAACACGUCUGACGGUCAGGGACGAAAGCUGGGGUAGCGAACCGGAUUAGAUACCCGGGUAGUCCCAGCCGUAAACGAUGCAUGCUAGGUGUUGGGUUGGCCACGAGCCACCCCAGUGCCGUCAGGGAAGCCGUUAAGCAUGCCGCCUGGGAAGUACGAUCGCAAGAUUGAAACUCAAAUGAUUGACGG